RNAcentral lists this ribosomal RNA (427 nucleotides) under uncultured bacterium. Its description in RNAcentral is "partial 16S ribosomal RNA". It matches the Rfam family "Bacterial small subunit ribosomal RNA", at positions 355 to 774 of the family's 1533-position model. The record is from RNAcentral.
UGGGGAAUAUUGCACAAUGGGCGCAAGCCUGAUGCAGCCAUGCCGCGUGUAUGAAGAAGGCCUUCGGGUUGUAAAGUACUUUCAGCGAGGAGGAAGGCGUUGUGGUUAAUAACCGCAACGAUUGACGUUACUCGCAGAAGAAGCACCGGCUAACUCCGUGCCAGCAGCCGCGGUAAUACGGAGGGUGCAAGCGUUAAUCGGAAUUACUGGGCGUAAAGCGCACGCAGGCGGUCUGUCAAGUCGGAUGUGAAAUCCCCGGGCUCAACCUGGGAACUGCAUUCGAAACUGGCAGGCUAGAGUCUUGUAGAGGGGGGUAGAAUUUCAGGUGUAGCGGUGAAAUGCGUAGAGAUCUGGAGGAAUACCGGUGGCGAAGGCGGCCCCCUGGACAAAGACUGACGCUCAGGUGCGAAAGCGUGGGGAGCAAACA